GUGAGGAAUAUUGGUCAAUGGACGGAAGUCUGAACCAGCCAUGCCGCGUGCAGGAAUAAGGUCCUAUGGAUUGUAAACUGCUUUUAUUCGGGAAUAAACCUCUUUACGUGUAGGGAGCUGAAGGUACCGAAGGAAUAAGCACCGGCUAACUCCGUGCCAGCAGCCGCGGUAAUACGGAGGGUGCAAGCGUUAUCCAGAAUCAUUGGGUUUAAAGGGUCCGCAGGCGGGCUAUCAAGUCAGAGGUGAAAUCCCACAGCUUAACUGUGGAACUGCCUUUGAAACUGAUGGUCUUGAAUUAAGUGGGCGUUGGCGGAAUAUGACAUGUAGCGGUGAAAUGCAUAGAUAUGUCAUGGAACACCGAAAGCGAAGGCAGCUAACGAUACUUAUAUUGACGCUCAUGGACGAAAGCGUGGGUAGCGAACAGGAUUAGAAACCCCUGUAGUCC
This 445-nucleotide ribosomal RNA is filed under the name uncultured bacterium. Its description in RNAcentral is "partial 16S ribosomal RNA". It matches the Rfam family "Bacterial small subunit ribosomal RNA", at positions 354 to 796 of the family's 1533-position model. The record is from RNAcentral.